NUUUUUUUUUUGAUGAAAUUUUCUCAUAUAUAUAAAUAAAGGAAAAAAAGUUACAAAGUAAACUUGGGCAUACCCAAGGUGGUACAAGUCGCCAAGUCUCAAGUGAGAACAAGGGACCAAGAAAACGUGAAUGCUAAUCCUAAGAAAGAUAGCAAAGUACAUACUUGACACACCCUUUGCAUUUGGGCGGUGCCAUUACAAGGUACAACAUAGUAUAUUAAUCCAAAAAACUAGUCCCACGUGUGCUGUAAAGGAAUAGGCCAGGAGGCCAAACGAUGAAGCGCGUGCACGAUGAGCUUGAUGAAG
This 306-nucleotide long non-coding RNA is filed under the name Salvia miltiorrhiza (redroot sage). Its description in RNAcentral is "long non-coding RNA (SMIL_LNC013178)". Lineage: Eukaryota; Viridiplantae; Streptophyta; Magnoliopsida; Lamiales; Lamiaceae. The record is from RNAcentral.